Molecule: long non-coding RNA, 1504 nt
Organism: Macrosteles quadrilineatus (aster leafhopper)
Lineage: Eukaryota; Metazoa; Arthropoda; Insecta; Hemiptera; Cicadellidae
Exons: 2
Source: RefSeq, a predicted model, not a curated record
UUAUGUUCUAUGUAUAAUAUUGAAGCCCAUGAUUUUCCAAACAAAAUGGUAUAUAGAACAGUAUAAUUAACAUUGUUUUCAAGCUUCUCAGAUCCGUUUUAAUAAAACCUUGCAAAUGAGCAAAAAAUAGGCAGACAUUAAGGCCAAAACAAGGGACACUCGGAGGGUUAAACACUGCUCCUCACAAGCUCGUAGCAAUAGACAAACAUCACCAUCAACAGUAAUGAAACAAGUAAAUUUUAGGCUAAUCUGAACUUCAAAAAGCAUCUUAAAUACUAUAACUGGAAGGAUUGUGCGAUUCAGUUUCAUAUCAAUAUUUAUUAAACCCAAAGAAAUAUUACCACUAUAUGAUAUAAUUAAUCUAAUAUUCAUAUUUAUGUUGGUGUUAGGAGUUUUAUUUAUUUUCAUGUUGGUUGUUUAUAAAAAAAUGUUUUAUUGGGUUUUAUUUAAGAUUAUCAGUCACAUAUUUAUGAUAUGUCAGGGUCAAGAGUCGAUCUCUUUUAGUUUUGAUUGCAUACUUAACAUUUUAUUAUUACCUGUAUUUUUUGUAACCUUGACCUUUGUAACCAGCUAAGUAAAAAAGUUUCGCGUUUAGGUUUUGAGAUUCGGGAUUCGAUUUUUAAAAGUUUCGGUUUCGGUUUUGAGAUUCAAAAUUUCUGGUUUUGACCAUCACUAAUUUUUAGCACUGCACCAUUCUUUCAACAAAAUAGACAUUUUGUAUAACAUUUUUUUUUAUCAAUUAUCUCUAUAAGUAAGCUCCCGAAAUUAAUGUCAUCUUGUUAUGUGAUUUGAAAAACUGUGCCUAAGCUAGAAAUUUGUAUGGCUAUGCAAAAGAAUAUCUUGAUAAGAAUGUAAAUCACAUGUAUUAUAAUGUUAUAGGUAAAGUAGUUAUUUAUCAUAUAAUUCUCAAUUAUUUGUUGAUGACAGUGUUGUUAUAGUACCGGUACUCAAAAAUGCAUCUUCAAAUAUAUCUUAAAGUUGGAAGUGAGACUAAGAAGAAGUCUUGAAAUGCACUUAAAAGUGCAAAAGCCAGAAAAAUAAUUGUAUCAGUUGUAGUAAACAAUUAUAAACAUUUCAGUAAAUUUUGUUUUUAUUGCUUAGUAAUGACUUCUGUAGAGAAUUCUUAGAUUGUUUCUGAAAAUAUAUCAUACGAUAUUCUAUUUAAAUUUUUAAAUUAUUUUAAUAAUGUAAUAGCUUUGAUUUACCUUUGCUCUAGAAGAUGUAACAGCUGUUUUAUUUUUAUUCAGUGUUAAGUUAUCCCCAACCCAAAGAUGUAAAAUAUGAAGUUUUUCCAAUAUUUUUUGUAAGUUUCUAACUACCUGAAAGUAUAAUCAUAGACUAAACAACACAAGUAAUGUUUUAUGGUUUUAUCUAUGGUAUAAUCCAUAACUAAUAUUGAAGACAAUUCCGUAGUCAAUGGUAGCGCAUAUCAUAUAUCCAAAGUUAUAUGGAAUCUGAUAUUUUUCACAUAACAUGACCAAAUAAAUUUAUUGUUAUUUUUAAA